UAUUUUAUGUAAUCCGCACUGCAUGAUUUUUGCAAGUACUCGUCGACUGACUUGAAACCAAAGGAAACUCGGGUCAAUCCUUCAUCAUAAUCCCGGAUGGUUUCAGCGUUAGCCGCUAACUGGAUAUUGUAAUCGCCUCCAAUGUCUUCAAACAACAUAAGAUGCCUACAAAUGAGGGAGAUGAAUAGAUGAUCAAUAGUACUUCUUUAAAAUGCCACUCAACGCCUUGGCGAGAGAUCGGUUAUAAAUUUUGUUAAAUCCCUGGCAUAAAUCCUCAUCUGACAUAACCAAAUUGAAAGGAUUACACAUGGAAACUGCACCCGAAAAAUUGCGUGCACCAG
RNAcentral lists this long non-coding RNA (341 nucleotides) under Helianthus annuus (common sunflower). RNAcentral describes it as "sRNA HanXRQr2_Chr17g0779921". The record is from RNAcentral. Lineage: Eukaryota; Viridiplantae; Streptophyta; Magnoliopsida; Asterales; Asteraceae.